AGCGCAUACGGUGGAUGCCUUGGCAGUCAGAGGCGAUGAAAGACGUGGUAGCCUGCGAAAAGCUUCGGGGAGUCGGCAAACAGACUUUGAUCCGGAGAUGUCUGAAUGGGGGAACCCAGCCAUCAUAAGAUGGUUACCUUACACUGAAUACAUAGGUGUAUGGAGCGAACCAGGGGAACUGAAACAUCUAAGUACCCUGAGGAAAAGAAAUCAACCGAGAUUCCCUUAGUAGUGGCGAGCGAACGGGGACUAGCCCUUAAGUGGCUUUGAGAUUAGCGGAACGCUCUGGAAAGUGCGGCCAUAGUGGGUGAUAGCCCUGUACGCGAAAAUCUCUUAGUCAUGAAAUCGAGUAGGACGGAGCACGAGAAACUUUGUCUGAAUAUGGGGGGACCAUCCUCCAAGGCUAAAUACUACUGACUGACCGAUAGUGAACUAGUACCGUGAGGGAAAGGCGAAAAGAACCCCGGAGAGGGGAGUGAAAUAGAUCCUGAAACCGUAUGCGUACAAGCAGUGGGAGCCUACUUGUUAGGUGACUGCGUACCUUUUGUAUAAUGGGUCAGCGACUUAUUUUCAGUGGCGAGCUUAACCGAAUAGGGGAGGCGUAGCGAAAGCGAGUCUUAAUAGGGCGUCUAGUCGCUGGGAAUAGACCCGAAACCGGGCGAUCUAUCCAUGGGCAGGUUGAAGGUUGGGUAACACUAACUGGAGGACCGAACCGACUACCGUUGAAAAGUUAGCGGAUGACCUGUGGAUCGGAGUGAAAGGCUAAUCAAGCUCGGAGAUAGCUGGUUCUCCUCGAAAGCUAUUUAGGUAGCGCCUCAUGUAUCACUGUAGGGGGUAGAGCACUGUUUCGGCUAGGGGGUCAUCCCGACUUACCAAACCGAUGCAAACUCCGAAUACCUACAAGUGCCGAGCAUGGGAGACACACGGCGGGUGCUAACGUCCGUCGUGAAAAGGGAAACAACCCAGACCGUCAGCUAAGGUCCCAAAGUUAUGGUUAAGUGGGAAACGAUGUGGGAAGGCUUAGACAGCUAGGAGGUUGGCUUAGAAGCAGCCACCCUUUAAAGAAAGCGUAAUAGCUCACUAGUCGAGUCGGCCUGCGCGGAAGAUGUAACGGGGCUCAAACCAUACACCGAAGCUACGGGUAUCACUUAGGUGAUGCGGUAGAGGAGCGUUCUGUAAGCCUGUGAAGGUGAGUUGAGAAGCUUGCUGGAGGUAUCAGAAGUGCGAAUGCUGACAUGAGUAACGACAAUGGGUGUGAAAAACACCCACGCCGAAAGACCAAGGUUUCCUGCGCAACGUUAAUCGACGCAGGGUUAGUCGGUCCCUAAGGCGAGGCUGAAAAGCGUAGUCGAUGGAAAACAGGUUAAUAUUCCUGUACUUCUGGUUAUUGCGAUGGAGGGACGGAGAAGGCUAGGCCAGCUUGGCGUUGGUUGUCCAAGUUUAAGGUGGUAGGCUGAGAUCUUAGGUAAAUCCGGGAUCUUAAGGCCGAGAGCUGAUGACGAGUUGUCUUUUAGACGACGAAGUGGUUGAUGCCAUGCUUCCAAGAAAAGCUUCUAAGCUUCAGGUAACCAGGAACCGUACCCCAAACCGACACAGGUGGUUGGGUAGAGAAUACCAAGGCGCUUGAGAGAACUCGGGUGAAGGAACUAGGCAAAAUGGCACCGUAACUUCGGGAGAAGGUGCGCCGGUGAGGGUGAAGGACUUGCUCCGUAAGCUCAUGCCGGUCGAAGAUACCAGGCCGCUGCGACUGUUUAUUAAAAACACAGCACUCUGCAAACACGAAAGUGGACGUAUAGGGUGUGACGCCUGCCCGGUGCCGGAAGGUUAAUUGAUGGGGUUAGCUAACGCGAAGCUCUUGAUCGAAGCCCCGGUAAACGGCGGCCGUAACUAUAACGGUCCUAAGGUAGCGAAAUUCCUUGUCGGGUAAGUUCCGACCUGCACGAAUGGCGUAACGAUGGCGGCGCUGUCUCCACCCGAGACUCAGUGAAAUUGAAAUCGCUGUGAAGAUGCAGUGUAUCCGCGGCUAGACGGAAAGACCCCGUGAACCUUUACUAUAGCUUUGCACUGGACUUUGAAUUUGCUUGUGUAGGAUAGGUGGGAGGCUUUGAAGCGUGGACGCCAGUUCGCGUGGAGCCAACCUUGAAAUACCACCCUGGCAACUUUGAGGUUCUAACUCAGGUCCGUUAUCCGGAUCGAGGACAGUGUAUGGUGGGUAGUUUGACUGGGGCGGUCUCCUCCUAAAGAGUAACGGAGGAGUACGAAGGUGCGCUCAGACCGGUCGGAAAUCGGUCGUAGAGUAUAAAGGCAAAAGCGCGCUUGACUGCGAGACAGACACGUCGAGCAGGUACGAAAGUAGGUCUUAGUGAUCCGGUGGUUCUGUAUGGAAGGGCCAUCGCUCAACGGAUAAAAGGUACUCCGGGGAUAACAGGCUGAUACCGCCCAAGAGUUCAUAUCGACGGCGGUGUUUGGCACCUCGAUGUCGGCUCAUCACAUCCUGGGGCUGAAGCCGGUCCCAAGGGUAUGGCUGUUCGCCAUUUAAAGUGGUACGCGAGCUGGGUUUAGAACGUCGUGAGACAGUUCGGUCCCUAUCUGCCGUGGACGUUUGAGAUUUGAGAGGGGCUGCUCCUAGUACGAGAGGACCGGAGUGGACGAACCUCUGGUGUUCCGGUUGUCACGCCAGUGGCAUUGCCGGGUAGCUAUGUUCGGAAUAGAUAACCGCUGAAAGCAUCUAAGCGGGAAACUAGCCUCAAGAUGAGAUCUCACUGGAACCUUGAGUUCCCUAAAGGGCCGUCGAAGACUACGACGUUGAUAGGUUGGGUGUGUAAGCGCUGUGAGGCGUUGAGCUAACCAAUACUAAUUGCCCGUGAGGCUUGACC
RNAcentral lists this ribosomal RNA (2876 nucleotides) under Pseudomonas marginalis pv. marginalis. RNAcentral describes it as "bacterial LSU rRNA". It matches the Rfam family "Bacterial large subunit ribosomal RNA". Lineage: Bacteria; Pseudomonadati; Pseudomonadota; Gammaproteobacteria; Pseudomonadales; Pseudomonadaceae. The record is from RNAcentral.